This 409-nucleotide ribosomal RNA is filed under the name uncultured bacterium. RNAcentral describes it as "bacterial SSU rRNA". It matches the Rfam family "Bacterial small subunit ribosomal RNA", at positions 355 to 776 of the family's 1533-position model. The record is from RNAcentral.
UGGGGAAUAUUGGGCAAUGGGCGGAAGCCUGACCCAGCGACGCCGCGUGAGGGAUGAAGGCCUUCGGGUUGUAAACCUCUUUCAGCAGGGAAGAAGCGAAAGUGACGGUACCUGCAGAAGAAGCACCGGCUAACUAUGUGCCAGCAGCCGCGGUAAUACAUAGGGUGCAAGCGUUGUCCGGAAUUAUUGGGCGUAAAGAGCUCGUAGGUGGCUCGUCACGUCGAAUGUGAAACCCUGAGGCUCAACCUCAGGCCUGCAUCCGAUACGGGCGAACUGGAGUGUGGUAGGGGAGACUGGAAUUCCUGGUGUAGCGGUGGAAUGCGCAGAUAUCAGGAGGAACACCAAUGGCGAAGGCAGGUCUCUGGGCCAUUACUGACACUGAGGAGCGAAAGCGUGGGGAGCGAACAGG